GAGCGGUAACAGGUGUAGCAAUACAUGCUGACGAGCGGCGAACGGGUGAGUAAUGCUUCGGAAUCUGCCCAAUGGUGGGGAAUAACCAGCCGAAAGGUUGGCUAAUACCGCAUGAGCCCUACGGGGGAAAGCAGGGGAUCGCAAGACCUUGCGCCGAUGGAUGAGCCGAAGUCGGAUUAGCUAGUUGGUAGGGUAACGGCCUACCAAGGCGACGAUCCGUAGCUGGUCUGAGAGGACGACCAGCCACACUGGGACUGAGACACGGCCCAGACUCCUACGGGAGGCAGCAGUGGGGAAUAUUGGACAAUGGGGGAAACCCUGAUCCAGCGACGCCGCGUGUGUGAAGAAGGCCUGCGGGUUGUAAAGCACUUUUAGUGGGGAUGAAAAGCUCAGGGCUAACACCUAUGGGUCUUGACCUAACCCACAGAAAAAGCACCGGCUAACUCUGUG
This 450-nucleotide ribosomal RNA is filed under the name uncultured bacterium. Its description in RNAcentral is "bacterial SSU rRNA". It matches the Rfam family "Bacterial small subunit ribosomal RNA", at positions 64 to 507 of the family's 1533-position model. The record is from RNAcentral.